Equus caballus (horse) is the source of this 1726-nucleotide long non-coding RNA. Lineage: Eukaryota; Metazoa; Chordata; Mammalia; Perissodactyla; Equidae. The record is from Ensembl.
CGUUAAGAUAGUCAAUUAUAAUAAAUUAUUUUAUAUUUGUAAUAAAAUUUUACUUUUAGUUAUUUUGGAUAACAUUUAUAGAACAUGCUGUUUUGGUAAAUUGCAUAUCAUAUUGAAAUAACUCAGUCCAGAAAAAGUACAUAUUAAAUCUAUAAUUAUAGGAAAUGUUUAAUCAAUCAAAUUCAAUUUAUAUCUGUAAUAAAAUCCUCUUAUCUUUGAACAGAUAGGCAUAAAUCCAAUUAUAUGCUGUAUAAGAAAACAUUCAACUGGGGAAUAAGAGUAGUGUUGACGUCUAAUUUCUGGGGGUGGUGCUUCUUGAGGCCUUCUCUCUUGGAUUUGAUAAGCACUAUUUCUCCACCCGUAAGGCAAAGAAGUAAAACCUAUAGUUUUUCCCUGGGUCAAUAAUUGACCACUUGGAUACAUUUUGGCUCUCCCUAGUCCCGGGGAUCUGCUUAAAUGCACUUGGGGUUGGGACAGAGACUGGGGCAAUGACUGGGACUGGCUGAGCAAUUUGUUCCCCUUUUGUCAGCCUCCAGGGAGAUCACGGCCUCUUAAAUAUUUUCGGUAUGCUUUAGAAUGUUAGGGAAUUGGUGCCCCUUUAUUCUCAGUCUAUGGUUUUCAAAGUUUUAAACUUAAGAUUAUUAAUAAGGAAAUUGCUACUCAGGAUACACACAGGGAAUGAAGCAUAGAUUUAAAAAAUUGUACAGUGAAGUUGCUGUAAAAGCCGCAAAAUACAUCCUCGGAUCCAUGGGAUUGCAGACCCCAACUUGAGGUUCUAUAAGCAGUAUGCUUUCCAGCUUUUAGACAGGCAGCAUCCAAAUCCAAGCCAGCCUGUGAACUGGAGAGGACAUCAAUACCACAGAAGAAGUCUAUACUACUCUUCAGAAAACAAAUUUCACUCACAUCCAUUUAAAAAAUCAAAAUAGAUAUGCCCAUUUCUAAAUUAGCUGUAAUUUUAUUUAGAAAUUGCAGGAAAAAUCAUGAAAUAUAAUUACGAUUAUUAUGAUCAACAUUGUAGGUUAAAAUUAAGAACAACUUUUAGUACUUUAGUAUCAGCCAAUUCCUUAAAACUUUAGUACAGAAUAAAUGUACCAAAACUAGAAGGGAAGAAAAAGCAUAUAAAGAAAAUAUAAUAAUUGUCCCAAUGAAAUUAUGUUUUUAUAGGGAAUUUGACAAUCUGGAUGAAAAGACUAUUGUCCCAGAUCCACGUAUUUUCUAAAAAUAAUUACCUAACAACAUUGAUGCUUUUUUUGGCUUGUUUUUAGUCACCACUCUCUAAUUUAUCACUGACCUAAUCAAGUUAACAUCACUGGGAACUGGAAAUAGCCUCCAGGUGCAUGAAAACAACAAGAUUAGCCUUGAGCUAACUACAGCCAAUCCUCGUCUUUUUGCUGAGGAAGACUGGCCCUGAGCUAACAUCCAUGCCCAUCUUCCUCUACUUUAUACGUGAGAUGCCUACCACAGCAUGGCUUCUGCCAAGCGGUGCCAUGUCCACAGCUGGGAUCCGAACUGGCGAACCCCGGGCAGCCAAGAAGCAGAACGUGCGAACUUAAUCACUGCGCCACCGGGCAUUUCACAACAGCAGUGGGUACAUGGCAACAAUAACAGGUCAGACUGAGGCAGAGGACACAGUUGGAAGACUUCAAGACCAUAAGAGAUGAUGGGGGCAUUGCCCGGAUCCCUGAACUAUUGCAUGGAGUGAGUUCCCACGCUGAUCUUCACUGUA